AGCUCCCGCACCGAGCAGCUCGAGGCUCGCCUCCGCCAGACCGCCCGCCCUGACUCCCUCGUGCGUUCCUUCUCUCCCCCUUCCAUCGCGCUUCCGCCUCUUUUCUUUUGGGUUUCUUCCUUUAACAAAUGGAGUCUUGCCAUUGAUCCUAAGUGGAACUGCAAUUACUCGAAAGGCUUCAGUGCAGAGAAUUAUCCGGCAUACUGGAUAGGUGGACAGUCUUUAAAAAAUAAUAUUAAACUUGCUUACCAGUCUUAAAAAAAAAAAAAAUGCUUUUUGAAGAUAAAUCACUUGGACAGUCGGCGGCACAUUUACCAAAUCCGCGAUAGAAUGUCUGAGAUCAUUAAUAUCUGUUGUUCCUAUCCCUCGAGAAGGAGCCGUCAUGGAGCAUCCCUAAGAGUUUCGAUCCUCUCUAUGGUCUCUUUAACAAUGGCUUUCCAUAAUUGAUCCUACCUCUAAGUGCAUCCCUCGCUCGAUUAUUCAUAUAGAAACCGAAUAGAGUGACGAAUUCAUGAUCUCCUUUGCCGGCGGGUUUGUACGUUUCAUCUCAUUGUGCUCCUUCUCGUGUUACAGUUCAUAUUUGAUUCUCCGAGGCUUGUUGUGUUUUGGCAGUCGCAAUUCUCUUGACUUGAAAUUUUCUCUGGUAUCCAAUUGCGAGAUCAUGAAUAAAUUUGACAUUGCACUCCUUACUGGCCAUGUUAAGAUUAUUUUGAGUUGAACAGAAGAAAAAAAAAAAAAACCAAAAACCAAAAGCUACAAACCAAAAAUCGAAAAACCAAACUGAACCGAACCGAAAGUUUGGUUCGGUUCAGGUCUCAUUCGGUUUGGUUCAAAAAAAAUUUCUAACUAUUCGAUUCAAUUCGGUUUUUCUGAAAAACCGAACCAUUGACACCCUAGCAAUAGCAACGGCAACUAAUGCAACACCACCACCAACAACAACAGCAACAGUUACAUCAGCAGCAACAGCAGCAGCACAUCCUGCUCCUCUAGCAACUGCAAAAGCAGCAGCAGGCAGCUGCUAUGUCGUGGUUCCCGUCCAACAUCGACGUGCACCUCCAUCCUCCGGGGCUCUCCCAUCACCCGAUCUAGCAAAACCCUAGCGUCUCCGCCCCCAAUUUGCAACAGCAACAACAGCAGUAGCAACAACAGCAAUUGCAGCGGCAGCAACAAGUGAUUCGACCGGGGAAUCAAGUGGAAUUGCAUAUGGCAUAUCGGGAUGCCUAGCAUGUUUGUCACCCCGACUUCAAGCGCCCCUUCUUUUCUCUCGAGGACGCCUGCAAGAGGUUGCCUUCUCUCUCCCUCUCUCUCUCUCUCUCUCUCUCUCUAGCCUAGAUGUUAUGUUGUUCUUGUCUUUUGAAGUAGUUCUUGUGGUUGGGAAAGUUGAUGAGAAGAAAUGGUACUUUUUACUACAAUGUGGUAAAGAUAGCACUUGCACAAGAGAUCAGUUAGUUGAGAUAAUGACCUACACAUGAAUUUGUGUCGACUGUAAACUGCAUUUUUUUAUUGGAAAUUCAGUUGAUUCCGAUCCAAGUAGGUGCUUUUUUUUGCACAUUAGUAACAUUUGAUGUUGAAUUGUCAAUUUAUAGAUUAAAUAAUCUGGGCAAGAACUAUCUGUAGUGAAUUAUCAGGCGAAAAUUUUUUGUUUUGAGCUGUUCAUGUGGACACUAAAAGAGGUGGAUUUAGUAUUGGCUACUUAGCAAGAGCCAACGUUUUGAUUUAGAUACAAAUCCCGGUAUUGCUUCUGGUCUGUUCUGCUAUCUUUUGUUCUGCCAUAGUUCCCAAGUUUCUCAUGUCAAGAACUUAGAUUGUUAGGAUAAUGGAGGAGUGUUAUGCAACUAUCUUUGGAGGGUAGUAUAUAUAUGGAUGGUGUCAAGAGCAGUGCAAUAGAGUUUGGUAUUUAGGCAGCUAGGUAUAAGAAUGGACUUGCAUAUUCUUCUUGAAAAGGAUACCGCCUUAGUAUGAUACCAAACGCAAUUCUAUUCCGAGAAUUGAAAUUUUAAACAGUUACAAAACGGUUUAAAAUAAUUAGAAAUUAUUUCUGGGAAUAGAAUAAAAAAGAAUCAUUUCUGAUCAGAAAUUGUUCUUAGGGAUAGAAGUCUUACCAAACACGCCAUUACGUUCUCUCCUCCAUAUUGAAAGCUAUGGAGGGUCGAGAUCCUCCGCCCAAUUUCAUCAACGUCGUAUCGGCACCUUCUUUCCCACUUACUUUAGUAAACAGGACACGUUCCUAGAUGCAGGUGAGGGCGACCCUCAGAUUGGCAGCGGCUCGGGCCCCUUCAAGUUACUAACCGAACCACUGCCUUCGCACUUUCCGAUCUUUCAUCAUCCAAGUCCGGGCCGCGUCUUCUAGCAUCAAUUAAAUAUUCUCGAGGGUGUGAUGCUGAAGUUUUUCCUUAUUUUAUUCAGCGAGGUCCGCGAGCGUGCUCUG
RNAcentral lists this long non-coding RNA (2428 nucleotides) under Eucalyptus grandis. RNAcentral's name for it is "long non-coding RNA (EGRA_LNC004645)". Lineage: Eukaryota; Viridiplantae; Streptophyta; Magnoliopsida; Myrtales; Myrtaceae. The record is from RNAcentral.